AGAGUUUGAUCCUGGCUCAGAAUCAACGCUGGCGGCGUGCCUAACACAUGCAAGUCGAACGAGAAAGUGGAGCAAUCCAUGAGUAAAGUGGCGCACGGGUGAGUAACACGUGACUAACCUACCUUUUAGUGGGGGAUAACCUAGGGAAACCUGGGCUAAUACCGCAUAAUACCUACGGGUCAAAGCAGCAAUGCGCUGAAAGAGGGGGUCGCGGCCGAUUAGCUAGUUGGCGGGGUAAUGGCCCACCAAGGCAGUGAUCGGUAUCCGGCCUGAGAGGGCGCACGGACACACUGGAACUGAAACACGGUCCAGACUCCUACGGGAGGCAGCAGUGGGGAAUUUUGCGCAAUGGGGGAAACCCUGACGCAGCAACGCCGCGUGGAGGAUGAAGUCCCUUGGGACGUAAACUCCUUUCGAUCGGGACGAUUAUGACGGUACCGGAAGAAGAAGCCCCGGCUAACUUCGUGCCAGCAGCCGCGGUAAUACGAGGGGGGCAAGCGUUUGUUCGGAAUUAUUGGGCGUAAAGGGAGUGUAGGCGGUUUGGUAAGUCUCGUGUGAAAUCUUCAGGCUCAACCUGAAGUCUGCACGAGAAACUGCCGGGCUUGAGUAUGGGAGAGGUGAGUGGAAUUCCUGGUGUAGCGGUGAAAUGCGUAGAUAUCAGGAGGAACACCUGUGGCGAAAGCGGCUCACUGGACCAUAACUGACGCUGAGACUCGAAAGCUAGGGGAGCAGACAGGAUUAGAUACCCUGGUAGUCCUAGCCCUAAACGAUGACUGCUUGAUGUGGCGGGUACCCAAUCCUGCCGUGUCGAAGCUAACGCGUUAAGC
RNAcentral lists this ribosomal RNA (827 nucleotides) under uncultured bacterium. RNAcentral's name for it is "bacterial SSU rRNA". It matches the Rfam family "Bacterial small subunit ribosomal RNA", at positions 8 to 865 of the family's 1533-position model. The record is from RNAcentral.